This 203-nucleotide ribosomal RNA is filed under the name Escherichia coli. RNAcentral's name for it is "partial 16S ribosomal RNA". It matches the Rfam family "Bacterial small subunit ribosomal RNA", at positions 1339 to 1533 of the family's 1533-position model. The record is from RNAcentral. Lineage: Bacteria; Pseudomonadati; Pseudomonadota; Gammaproteobacteria; Enterobacterales; Enterobacteriaceae.
UAAUCGUAGAUCAGCAUGCUACGGUGAAUACGUUCCCGGGUCUUGUACACACCGCCCGUCACACCACGAGAGUUUGUAACACCCGAAGCCGGUGGAGUAACCUUUUUGGAGCUAGCCGUCGAAGGUGGGACAAAUGAUUGGGGUGAAGUCGUAACAAGGUAGCCGUAUCGGAAGGUGCGGCUGGAUCACCUCCUUUCUAAGGA